GUUUUGAGCAUGAAGGUUUGGGGGCGCCUCCCUAAUAAAGGGGAAAAAAGGCUCACGCCCCAGCUGGGCUGGGCCCUGUGGCUCUUCCCCUUUGGAACUUCCUGAGCUGCACAAGGUUUCAAAAAUCUCUCAGGACCCAGCAACUGUCCACCUCCUCAAAGGCCUCUCACCACUGGCUAGAAUCUGGGGCAACUGCCUGACUUGGCGCCCAGUCGAGGGAGGAGAACACCCGCCCAACACAUCUCCCGGCACCGGUCCAUUUCACCGUGCCCUCGGGGAAAGCCACUUUCUGUCCCUCAGAUCGCAAGUUUCCAGGCUGCAGCGGCAUGGGGGUGGGCGUGGAGGUGGGGAGCAGUGGAGGAACCUCUCCGGCUAUUCUCCCACUGUGGCUGCUUGCCUCGCGCAAACCUCCUGCAGCCCCUUCUCAGCCUUUUCCUCAGAGAAAGGCAGGGCUCCUGUUUCCCCUGCCUGAGCAGAAGUGGCCCCGGGCCGCCUGAUUCCCCAAGGGGACCAGGGAGGUGCGCUGCGAGACGCUGGGCAGUCCUCUGGCCCCUAGGACUUUUCGGGAGAAAGUUUUCUAAAGGCUCUCCAAGUCUUCUCUUUCCCAAGGCUGGAGAGAGUGGUGUCCACCGCCCGGAGCGGCGGACAGCUGGGCGCCCGCCCUGAUUUAUACAUUAGAGUCCAGGGGGCACCCGGCUACUCUGUCUCUCUGUCUCUCUGAUUCUCUGUCUCUCGGUCUCUGUCUCUGUCUCUGUCUCUGUCUCUGUCUCUGUCUCUCUCUCUCUCUGUCUGUCUCUCUCCUCCCCCCUUCUCUCUUUUUUUGUUGCUUGGGGGUGGGGAGGGGUUCUUUUAUUUGUUUCUGCCCCAGAUCUUUCCUGGACAGUCUCAGCAGUGGAGAUUCGGGGGCCCCCAGCCGCAGGCGGAGGGCGUGGGAGUUUGAAGCAUUUAACCUCUUCCCGCCUCUUCUUAAAGAAGCCACCCAGCGUCAGCGGGCGCUCUGCGACUUCAGCUGGCGGGCCGGCGCGCGCCGCAGCGAGCGGGGCUGGCCAAUGGAGUUGCGGCUGCGGAGGGAGGGGACCCCGACUGCAGUAAGUUUAGAGAGCGACACUGUCAGGCACCGGCAGCAGCAAGAUGACGAGCGCUCAGUGCAGACCCGGAGCUCGUCGAACGCAACUUCGUCCCGCCUGAGCGAGGCUGCGGUUUCCGAGGCCCUCUCCAGCCAAGAAAAAGAUACGCGAAAAGCCUGGAUUUCUCUCAUUGAAUCACCCCUGAUAGCAAGCGAAGGCUCUCUCCGCGUCGCCCUCUAGCGUUCGCUGGAGAAGCGGCACCUCCGGU
This 1335-nucleotide long non-coding RNA is filed under the name Rhinolophus ferrumequinum (greater horseshoe bat). RNAcentral's name for it is "lncRNA (ENSRFEG00010015813.1)". The record is from RNAcentral. Lineage: Eukaryota; Metazoa; Chordata; Mammalia; Chiroptera; Rhinolophidae.